CCUACGGGUGGCAGCAUUGAGGAAUAUUGGUCAAUGGCCGGAAGGCUGAACCAGCCAUGCCGCGUGAAGGUCAGUGCCCUAUGGGCGUUAAACUUCUUUUGUGCGGGAUCAAUCCUGGUCACGUGUGGCCAGACGAGAGUACCGUACGAAUAAGCAUCGGCUAACUCCGUGCCAGCAGCCGCGGUAAUACGGGGGAUGCAAGCGUUAUCCGGAUUUAUUGGGUUUAAAGGGUGCGUAGGCUGUGAGGUAAGUCAGCGGUGAAAUGCCCCCGCUCAACGGGGUGAAGUGCCAUUGAUACUGCCUGGCUGGAAUGCGGAUGCCGUGGGAGGAAUGUGUGGUGUAGCGGUGAAAUGCAUAGAUAUCACACAGAACACCGAUUGCGAAGGCAUCUCACGAAUCCGCGAUUGACGCUGAUGCACGAAAGCGUGGGUAUCAAACAGGAUUAGAUACCCCUGUAGUC
Molecule: ribosomal RNA, 460 nt
Filed under: uncultured bacterium
Lineage: Bacteria
Description: partial 16S ribosomal RNA
Rfam family: Bacterial small subunit ribosomal RNA
Source: RNAcentral